This is a long non-coding RNA of Sinocyclocheilus rhinocerous, 296 nucleotides long. RefSeq lists it as uncharacterized. Lineage: Eukaryota; Metazoa; Chordata; Actinopteri; Cypriniformes; Cyprinidae. The transcript has 3 exons. The record is from RefSeq and is a predicted model, not a curated record.
UACAGCCGAGUCAGGCUGUGAGUGCAAAAUCAGUGUCGCUCCGUUCCACUCAUUCGUGAUUCUCCAUAACGGUCUUUGUGUUUCCUUGUCACCAUCAGAGCUUGAUGGCUUAGCUGGUUUUGAAACUCUGAAAUAAAUUCUUUGACGGAGAAGAAACAUGUCAACUAACUGGCCAAAUUAAGCCUAAAAUCAGAUCCGGUUUGCACGUCAUUGCAGAUGGAGUUCAUACAGUUUGCACAACUCGGUGAGACUUGGAAAUGGUUAUAGACGAUAUACUAGCCAGAGGCAGUAAAAGG